RNAcentral lists this ribosomal RNA (309 nucleotides) under uncultured bacterium. Its description in RNAcentral is "bacterial SSU rRNA". It matches the Rfam family "Bacterial small subunit ribosomal RNA", at positions 28 to 334 of the family's 1533-position model. The record is from RNAcentral.
GACGAACGCUGGCGGCGCGCCUAACACAUGCAAGUCGAACGAGCGAGAGAGAGCUUGCUUUCUCAAGCGAGUGGCGAACGGGUGAGUAACGCGUGAGGAACCUGCCUCAAAGAGGGGGACAACAGUUGGAAAUGACUGCUAAUACCGCAUAAGCGCACAGGACCGCAUGGUCUGGUGUGAAAAACUCCGGUGGUAUGAGAUGGACCCGCGUCUGAUUAGCUAGUUGGUGGGGUAACGGCCUACCAAGGCGACGAUCAGUAGCCGACCUGAGAGGGUGACCGGCCACAUUGGGACUGAGACACGGCCCAA